UACGGAGGGUGCAAGCGUUAUCCGGAUUCACUGGGUUUAAAGGGUGCGUAGGUGGGCAGGUAAGUCAGUGGUGAAAUCCCCGAGCUUAACUUGGGAACUGCCGUUGAUACUAUCUGUCUUGAAUACUGUGGAGGUAAGCGGAAUAUGUCAUGUAGCGGUGAAAUGCUUAGAUAUGACAUAGAACACCAAUUGCGAAGGCAGCUUGCUACACAGUAAUUGACAAUGAGGCGCGAAAGCGUGGGGAGCGAACAGG
This 253-nucleotide ribosomal RNA is filed under the name uncultured bacterium. RNAcentral describes it as "partial 16S ribosomal RNA". It matches the Rfam family "Bacterial small subunit ribosomal RNA", at positions 524 to 776 of the family's 1533-position model. The record is from RNAcentral.